This 1042-nucleotide long non-coding RNA is filed under the name Strigops habroptila (Kakapo). RNAcentral's name for it is "lncRNA (ENSSHBG00005008626.1)". The record is from RNAcentral. Lineage: Eukaryota; Metazoa; Chordata; Aves; Psittaciformes; Psittacidae.
GGCUUUUGGGUUUUAUUCCUCCGCAUGGAGGUGGGGAGCAGCCAAUGAGAUCACACCUCGCCCAUGACAUCACUGCCAGAGCAGGGUGACGUCACAACCACAUCAAGGUGACGUCAUAAUGAUGUCAACUGGGGGCGGGGGAGGGCGUGGCUCUGUCUGCUGUGAUGUCAUCGGUGAUGUCAUUGCGCUGGCGUCAGUGGUGGGGCUGUUGGCCCUGCUGGUGCUGUUGGUGAUGUCACUGAUGAUGUCAUUGAUGAUGUCAUCAGUGACAUUGACUCUGUUGACAAUGCUGGUGGUCACUUUGGUGCUGUUGAUGACGUCAUUGGCCACGUUGCUGCUGGUGUGAUGUCAUUGGCUGUGCUGGUCUUGUUGAUGAUGUCAUUGGCAAUGCUCUUGGGUGCGUUGAAGCUGCUGCUGACGUCAUUGGCCAUGUUGACGCCAUCGGUGACGUCAUUGACUGUGCUGGCACCACGGGUGAUGCUGUUGAUGACAUCAUUGUGACUAUGUUGAUGCCAUUGACGUUGUGUCAUUGGUGAUGUCAUUGACCGUGCUGGUCCUGUUGGUGAUGUCAUUGGCGGUGUUGAUGCCGUUGAUGACGUCAUUGGCCAUGUUGAUGCUGUUGAUGACGUCAUUGACCACAUUGACGCCAUUGAUGAUGCGUCAUCGGGGAUGUCAUUGGCCAUGUUGAUGCCAUUGGUGACGUCAUUGACUGCACUGGUCUUGCUGUUGACGUCAUUGGCCAUGCUGACGAUGUUGAUGACGUCAUUGACGCCAUUGAUGAUGCGUCAUUGGGGAUGUCAUUGGCCAUGUUGGUGCCAUUGAUGACGUCAUUGACCUCAUUGCUGCCAUCAAUGGCGUCACAGACCACAUUAACGCCAUUGGUGCUGCGCCAGCGGCGACGUCAUCGACUGCACUGACACUGCCAAUGACAUCACUGACGGCGCUGAUGCCACCAAUGACGUCACAGCCCGUGACGUCAGAGUCCGCGCUGGUGCCGGGGUCGGGCGAUGGUGUCGGUCCAGCAGGGGACGCCGCGGAAGGG